UGGGGAAUCUUGCGCAAUGGGCGAAAGCCUGACGCAGCGACGCCGCGUACGGGAAGAAGGCCUUCGGGUUGUAAACCGUUUUCAGGAGGGACGAAGCCACUCGGGUUAACAGCCCAGAGGGUGACGGUACCUCCAGAAGAAGCCCCGGCUAACUACGUG
This 159-nucleotide ribosomal RNA is filed under the name uncultured bacterium. RNAcentral describes it as "partial 16S ribosomal RNA". It matches the Rfam family "Bacterial small subunit ribosomal RNA", at positions 355 to 507 of the family's 1533-position model. The record is from RNAcentral.